AACGAACGCUGGCGGCAGGCUUAACACAUGCAAGUCGAGCGAGACCUUCGGGUCUAGCGGCGGACGGGUGAGUAACGCGUGGGAACGUGCCCUUCUCUACGGAAUAGCCCCGGGAAACUGGGAGUAAUACCGUAUACGCCCUUUGGGGGAAAGAUUUAUCGGAGAAGGAUCGGCCCGCGUUGGAUUAGGUAGUUGGUGGGGUAAUGGCCCACCAAGCCGACGAUCCAUAGCUGGUUUGAGAGGAUGAUCAGCCACACUGGGACUGAGACACGGCCCAGACUCCUACGGGAGGCAGCAGUGGGGAAUCUUAGACAAUAGGGGCAACCCUGAUCUAGCCAUGCCGCGUGAGUGAUGAAGGCCUUAGGGUUGUAAAGCUCUUUCAGCUGGGAAGAUAAUGACGGUACCAGCAGAAGAAGCCCCGGCUAACUCCGUG
RNAcentral lists this ribosomal RNA (433 nucleotides) under uncultured bacterium. RNAcentral describes it as "partial 16S ribosomal RNA". It matches the Rfam family "Bacterial small subunit ribosomal RNA", at positions 29 to 507 of the family's 1533-position model. The record is from RNAcentral.